CUGAGUUCUAAACUCCAAACCUUUGUGAACCUACCACAGUUGCUUCGGCGGCCUCGCCCCGGGCGCCCCGGAACCCCCAGCGGGUACCGUGGCGGUCCGGACCCAGGCGACCGCCGGGGGACCCAAACUCUUGUUUUCCAGUAUCUAUCUGAGUGGCAUAAGCAAAUAAUCA
This 172-nucleotide unclassified non-coding RNA is filed under the name uncultured Geosmithia. RNAcentral describes it as "sequence contains ITS1". Lineage: Eukaryota; Fungi; Ascomycota; Sordariomycetes; Hypocreales; Bionectriaceae. The record is from RNAcentral.